Molecule: ribosomal RNA, 399 nt
Filed under: uncultured bacterium
Lineage: Bacteria
Description: bacterial SSU rRNA
Rfam family: Bacterial small subunit ribosomal RNA
Source: RNAcentral
UGGGGAAUUUUGGACAAUGGGCGAAAGCCUGAUCCAGCCAUGCCGCGUGAGUGAAGAAGGCCUUCGGGUUGUAAAGCCCUUUCGGCGGGGAAGAAAUCGCAUUCUCUAAUACAGGAUGUGGAUGACGGUACCCGAAUAAGAAGCACCGGCUAACUACGUGCCAGCAGCCGCGGUAAUACGUAGGGUGCAAGCGUUAAUCGGAAUUACUGGGCGUUAAAGCGUGCGCAGGCGGUUUCGUAAGACAGACGUGAAAUCCCCGGGCUCAACCUGGGAACUGCGUUUGUGACUGCGAGGCUAGAGUUUGGCAGAGGGGGUGGAAUUCCACGUGUAGCAGUGAAAUGCGUAGAGAUGUGGAGGAACACCGAUGGCGAAGGCAGCCCCCUGGGCCAAUACUGACGC